GAUGAAGAACGUAGCGAAAUGCGAUAAGUAAUGUGAAUUGCAGAAUUCAGUGAAUCAUCGAAUCUUUGAACGCACCUUGCGCCUUUUGGUAUUCCGAAAGGCAUGCCUGUUUGAGUGUCAUGAAAUCUCAAUCCCCUCGGGUUUAUGAUCCGGGUGGGACUUGGACUUGGGCGUCUGCCGGUUACACGGCUCGCCUCAAAUGACUUAGUGGAUCUCUCUGCAUCCGUGACAGACGUAAUAAGUUUCGUCUUGUCCCUUGCUGGAUGAGUCUGCUCAGAACCUGCCAUUGCGCACUUUUAGACUCUGACCUCAAAUCAGGUAGGACUACCCGCUGAGCUUAAGCAUAUCAAUAAGCGGAGGA
RNAcentral lists this unclassified non-coding RNA (361 nucleotides) under soil metagenome. RNAcentral describes it as "partial contains 5.8S ribosomal RNA, internal transcribed spacer 2, and large subunit ribosomal RNA". The stretch from base 1 to 120 matches the Rfam family "5.8S ribosomal RNA", at positions 35 to 154 of the family's 154-position model. The record is from RNAcentral.